Molecule: transfer RNA, 72 nt
Filed under: Rattus norvegicus (Norway rat)
Lineage: Eukaryota; Metazoa; Chordata; Mammalia; Rodentia; Muridae
Rfam family: tRNA
About the family: Transfer RNA (tRNA) molecules are approximately 80 nucleotides in length. Their secondary structure includes four short double-helical elements and three loops (D, anti-codon, and T loops). Further hydrogen bonds mediate the characteristic L-shaped molecular structure. tRNAs have two regions of fundamental functional importance: the anti-codon, which is responsible for specific mRNA codon recognition, and the 3' end, to which the tRNAs corresponding amino acid is attached (by aminoacyl-tRNA synthetases). tRNAs cope with the degeneracy of the genetic code in two manners: having more than one tRNA (with a specific anti-codon) for a particular amino acid; and 'wobble' base-pairing, i.e. permitting non-standard base-pairing at the 3rd anti-codon position.
Source: Rfam by way of RNAcentral
UUGGGUUUAGCUCAGUGGUAGAGCACUUGCCUAGCAAGCACAAGGCCCUGGGUUCGGUCCCCAGCUCUGAAA